Molecule: ribosomal RNA, 468 nt
Filed under: uncultured bacterium
Lineage: Bacteria
Description: partial 16S ribosomal RNA
Rfam family: Bacterial small subunit ribosomal RNA
Source: RNAcentral
GACGAAUGCUGGCGGCGUGCUUAACACACGCAAGUCGAACGGAAAGGCCCUGCUUUUGUGGGGUGCUCGAGUGGCGAACGGGUGAGUAACACGUGAGUAACCUGCCCUUGACUUUGGGAUAACUUCAGGAAACUGGGGCUAAUACCGGAUAGGAGCUCCUGCUGCAUGGUGGGGGUUGGAAAGUUUCGGCGGUUGGGGAUGGACUCGCGGCUUAUCAGCUUGUUGGUGGGGUAGUGGCUUACCAAGGCUUUGACGGGUAGCCGGCCUGAGAGGGUGACCGGCCACAUUGGGACUGAGAUACGGCCCAGACUCCUACGGGAGGCAGCAGUGGGGAAUAUUGCACAAUGGGCGGAAGCCUGAUGCAGCAACGCCGCGUGCGGGAUGACGGCCUUCGGGUUGUAAACCGCUUUCGCCUGUGACGAAGCGUGAGUGACGGUAAUGGGUAAAGAAGCACCGGCUAACUACGUG